This 373-nucleotide ribosomal RNA is filed under the name uncultured bacterium. RNAcentral describes it as "bacterial SSU rRNA". It matches the Rfam family "Bacterial small subunit ribosomal RNA", at positions 525 to 896 of the family's 1533-position model. The record is from RNAcentral.
ACAGAGACUGCAAGCGUUAUUCGGAUUCACUGGGCGUAAAGGGUGCGCAGGCGGUUGGGUGUGUCAGGUGUGAAAGCCCGAGGCUUAACCUCGGAAUUGCGCCUGAAACUACUCGACUAGAGGACUGGAGAGGGUAGCGGAAUUCACGGUGUAGCAGUGAAAUGCGUAGAUAUCGUGAGGAACACCAGAGGCGAAGGCGGCUACCUGGACAGUACCUGACGCUCAGGCACGAAAGCGUGGGGAGCAAAAGGGAUUAGAUACCCCUGUAGUCCACGCCCUAAACGGUGCACACUAGGUCUUGGCGGAUUCGACCCCUCCAGGGCCCAAGCUAACGCGUUAAGUGUGCCGCCUGAGGACUACGGCCGCAAGGCUA